GGGGGUGACCUGGGUUCGACGGGGUUGUGAGAUCCGGGAUGCGUGUCGGGGCCCGCGGCCCCCGUUAAAAACCGCGGAACCGAAAAAGUGCCAACGAAGGUAUGGCUCUGGCUGCUUAAUUGACAGCCACGUCCCCCCGGCCUUUUCCUGCGGGGCCGGGUGCGGGCGUCACACAGCAGGAUAGCCGAACCGAGUGCCCGAGCGAGGGGAGGCGAAAUCCAGUCGGGAACCCUCCUGCAUGCAGCCUGUCCGUGGGCGGCCGCAGGAGAACCAGUACACGGACUACGCAUGUAGAGGUCCCGGGUCGAGCAUCUUCGGACGCGGGUUCGAUUCCCGCCGCCUCCAUUU
This 348-nucleotide transfer-messenger RNA is filed under the name Deltaproteobacteria bacterium. It matches the Rfam family "transfer-messenger RNA". Rfam says of the family: Bacterial tmRNA, also known as 10Sa RNA or SsrA, is named for its dual tRNA and mRNA-like properties. Its role is to liberate the mRNA from a stalled ribosome. Lineage: Bacteria; Pseudomonadati; Myxococcota; Myxococcia. The record is from RNAcentral.